UGAGUUACAGCGAUUUUUCCUCUUCUUCUCUCUUAGCACCUUGCCUGAGCAAUCCAAAAGUCCUGCUUUUGUCUCCCUGCCCAGCCACUUUUUAUUACCAAUCGAAGCCAGCUGGGGAAAGGAACCCUCAAUGUCUGGAAGCGUGGCUUUUGGAAGCUGAAUUAAGACAAAGCAUUAGAACCAAUUCCUAACACAGUCCUGGAGCCUCUGAAAUCCAUAAUCUGUAGAAUUCAGGAUCUGGGAGAUCCAGGACCCACCACCCAUAGACUUCUCCUGUAUAAACUUCUCUGAAUUUGUGGAUUGUAACAUAGUUAUCCUUUACUUAAGAGUUAAUAUCCAUGUACAACUUCGUUGGUUCUACAAGAUAUUAUGGGAACUAUCAAGGAAAGAGUACCAAUAAACAAUCCUACCCAGCUGCAACACUGAUGAACCCUGACAAUUACUAGCAUAUCAAGUUUUGAAUAAAGAAUGGCACUAAACAAUGGAAUCUUAGCCAUUAAGAAGUGGAGUUACAAGACAAAGCACCUUCUGAAAUCCAUAGAGGUUCUAAGAUCAGCACAUGGUUUUUAUGGUGUAAUUUCAAGAAAGAUCUCCUUUGGAAUAUGGCUAG
Molecule: long non-coding RNA, 610 nt
Organism: Mastomys coucha (southern multimammate mouse)
Lineage: Eukaryota; Metazoa; Chordata; Mammalia; Rodentia; Muridae
Exons: 5
Source: RefSeq, a predicted model, not a curated record